This 90-nucleotide transfer RNA is filed under the name Rhodopseudomonas julia. Its description in RNAcentral is "tRNA-Ser". It matches the Rfam family "tRNA". Rfam says of the family: Transfer RNA (tRNA) molecules are approximately 80 nucleotides in length. Lineage: Bacteria; Pseudomonadati; Pseudomonadota; Alphaproteobacteria; Hyphomicrobiales; Nitrobacteraceae. RNAcentral also lists the same sequence under 1 other name. The record is from RNAcentral.
GGAUGGGUGGCCGAGCGGUUGAAGGCACCGGUCUUGAAAACCGGCGUGCGUGAGAGCGUACCGUGGGUUCGAAUCCCACCCCAUCCGCCA